This is a long non-coding RNA of Sipha flava (yellow sugarcane aphid), 1168 nucleotides long. RefSeq lists it as uncharacterized. The record is from RefSeq and is a predicted model, not a curated record. Lineage: Eukaryota; Metazoa; Arthropoda; Insecta; Hemiptera; Aphididae. The transcript is spliced from 5 exons.
ACUAACACAAACUAGAUACCGGUUUGCGGUGACAAGACAAUAAGUAUACAAAUUGCCAAAAUAUUAUUCCUUAUUAUUCUAUUUUACUGUUUUAGCACAAUAAUUGUUUAUUAAUUUUAUUCCGUGGUAAAGAUGGUAAAGUACAAAAACGUAGUGUGUUAAAUUGGCUUUCUUAUUAAGCAUUGGUCACACUGAUACUUGCCUCACUGCAUAAAGUAAUGGCAGUUACUGCGUAAUUUAUUGUUUUUCGAUUUGGACAGCCACGCAUAUGCCCAAUACCAUAUUGUUUAUAGUUAAUUUUAAAAUAAAUAAAUUUGUGGCGUUUAAACAUUUUCUUAAUUUGUGCAUUUGCCAUUUGUGUUUUUUGAGUAAUUAUUGUGACUGCAGCUGCAGUCUCCACUAGUGGAGACGUAAAGUACUGAAAACGAGUUGUUGGGCGAGUAAAAUCACAAAAUUUUGAUGAGUAACAAUCUGUCAAGUCAUGAUGUACAAAAAAAAUUCAUAUUUAAGAAGUGAUUCAAAUGUAAACAGAAAUAUUUUCACUUAUAAUUCAUUACAUUAUUCUUCUGAGAAAAAAAUCUUUGAAAAAAAAAAAUCUAUCUGUGCCUUUUGAAAAACACAUUUCUUCAUGUUUAGCAGAAAUAAAGUAUGAGAUUAAAAGUCAUACUUAUAAAAUUGAUUACUUAAAAGAGAAAAUAGAUUUGAUUGAAGAAAAUCUCAAAUGUUUUAAAUCAUAUAAUAGAAAUAUUGGUACAAAUAGUAAUGAUGAUAUGAUGAGAUGCUUACCGAUGAUAUUAUGUUUGAUUCAUUAAUUUGUUUAUGGCCUCUUAAGAAUGAUGACGAUUUAAACGAGUUUGAAAAUAUAUCAAAGGAUACAACUAAGAAAAGACAAUGAAAUGAUAUUAUCGAGAGCGGUUUCAAAGAAGAUACCUAUAACCAUAAGAGUUAUGAUGCAGUGAAUGUUUACAGACAACUUUUUGUUAAUUUUUUUUUUUUUUAUUGGCUUCAAAGGGAAAAAAAAAUUUCAAAGUUACACAGUUGUUCUUUAAUUUUUGAUUCUAUAAGAAGAGUGAAAAAGUUUGAAAAUGUGCCAGAUUGUGAUAUUUCCAAUCCAAUAAAAUCAUGGUUAGCUCCAUCGAAUAACCGCUUAAUUAAAUAAAAAAAAAAA